CAGCAGCCGCGGUAAUACGGAGGAUCCAAGCGUUAUCCGGAAUCAUUGGGUUUAAAGGGUCCGUAGGCGGUCUUAUAAGUCAGUGGUGAAAUCUCCCCGCUCAACGGGGAAACGGCCAUUGAUACUGUAGGACUUGAAUUAUUAGGAAGUAACUAGAAUAUGUAGUGUAGCGGUGAAAUGCUUAGAGAUUACAUGGAAUACCAAUUGCGAAGGCAGGUUACUACUAAUGGAUUGACGCUGAUGGACGAAAGCGUGGGUAGCGAACAGGAUUAGAUACCCUGGUAGUCCACGCCGUAAACGAUGGAUACUAGCUGUUGGGAGCAAUCUCAGUGGCUAAGCGAAAGUGAUAAGUAUCCCACCUGGGGAGUACGUUCGCAAGAAUGAAACUCAAAGGAAUUGACGG
Molecule: ribosomal RNA, 403 nt
Filed under: uncultured bacterium
Lineage: Bacteria
Description: bacterial SSU rRNA
Rfam family: Bacterial small subunit ribosomal RNA
Source: RNAcentral